Molecule: ribosomal RNA, 460 nt
Filed under: uncultured bacterium
Lineage: Bacteria
Description: partial 16S ribosomal RNA
Rfam family: Bacterial small subunit ribosomal RNA
Source: RNAcentral
CCUACGGGUGGCAGCAGUGAGGAAUAUUGGUCAAUGGACGAAAGUCUGAACCAGCCAAGUAGCGUGAAGGAUGACUGCCCUAUGGGUUGUAAACUUCUUUUAUAAAGGAAUAAAACGCGUCACGUGUGCCUUUUUGCAGGUACUGCAUGAAUAAGGAUCGGCUAAUUCCGUGCCAGCAGCCGCGGUAAUACGGAGGAUCCGAGCGUUAUCCGGAUUUAUUGGGUUUAAAGGGAGCGUAGAUGGCGUGUUAAGUCUGUUGUGAAAGUUCGGGGCUAAACCGUGAGACUGCAACGGAUACUGGCAGUCUUGAGUACAGUUGAGGUAGGCGGAAUUCGUGGUGUAGCGGUGAAAUGCUUAGAUAUCACGAAGAACACCGAUUGCGAAGGCAGCUUACUGAACUGUUACUGACGUUGAAGCUCGAAAGUGUGGGUAUCAAACAGGAUUAGAUACCCUAGUAGUC